UCUUUGAAAAAAAAACAGGAAAAAAGGUGAAGAGAGGUUUAGCUUCUGCGGAAGGGAAAAGAGCAGAAAAAAGGAAAAACUGCAGAAAAAAGAAAAAGUUAGAACGAGAGAGAGAGAGAGAAAGAGGAGAAAAGUAAAAAGCAGAGGUGAUUUGACCCUCACUGUUCAUCAUCUCCCCAAGCUCGCUGCUCACCCUCUGUUCCGCUCCGCGAAGCCCGACGUCCUCCUCCACCUCGUUGUCCGUUCGCCGCCGGUCUCGCCGCUCCGUCCGCUCCUCGACGCCUGCGCUUGAGAUCUGCUCGCGACCCAGCACUCGGCGUUCCCUGCUCCCGUCGUGACCGGCGCUAGCUGAGCCUCCCUCGCCACACGAAGCCCGCCGUCGCUACCGUCGGCCAUCGUCCCUCGAGACCUCCGCCCACGACACCCGAGUUCAGCUC
RNAcentral lists this long non-coding RNA (437 nucleotides) under Eucalyptus grandis. RNAcentral's name for it is "long non-coding RNA (EGRA_LNC001993)". The record is from RNAcentral. Lineage: Eukaryota; Viridiplantae; Streptophyta; Magnoliopsida; Myrtales; Myrtaceae.